CCUUAAAGAACCUGCCUUUGUAGUGCUCACACAGAUUGUCUGAUGAAAAGUAAAUAGCAAGGCGUCUUGCGAUUGAGACUGUACGUCCCCUUCGUCUAGAGGCCCAGGACACCGCCCUUUCACGGCGGUAACAGGGGUUCGAAUCCCCUAGGGGACGCCACUUGCUGGUUCGUGAGUGAAAGUCACCUGCCUUAAUAUCUCAAAACUCACCUUCGGGUGACGUUUGAGAUAUUUGCUCUUUAAAAAUCUGGAUCAAGCUGAAAAUUGAAACGACACACAGUUAAUGUGUGUUCGAGUCUCUCAAAUUUUCGCAAUCAGAAGUGAAACAUCUUCGGGUUGUGA
RNAcentral lists this unclassified non-coding RNA (342 nucleotides) under Enterobacter cloacae subsp. dissolvens. RNAcentral's name for it is "16S-23S ribosomal RNA intergenic spacer". The stretch from base 238 to 335 matches the Rfam family "Salmonella enterica Typhi npcRNA 44". The record is from RNAcentral. Lineage: Bacteria; Pseudomonadati; Pseudomonadota; Gammaproteobacteria; Enterobacterales; Enterobacteriaceae.